This is a long non-coding RNA of Pomacea canaliculata, 1024 nucleotides long. RefSeq lists it as uncharacterized. The transcript has 5 exons. Lineage: Eukaryota; Metazoa; Mollusca; Gastropoda; Architaenioglossa; Ampullariidae. The record is from RefSeq and is a predicted model, not a curated record.
UUUUGAGUGCACGAAAAAUAAUGAAGAAAAAGGCAAGAGAACUGAAAAGUCGAAAAAAAACAAGCGAGCAUUGACAGGUAGCCGUGAUGGAAAGGCAAAGGCUUCAGUUUUGACGAUUAUAUUUAUAAAAUUGCACUACAGAGUUACUUGAUUUACUUGCAAUAUUUCAUUUCACUUUGUUGACAUUUUGACAUCCCUUGAACAUGACCAUCCCGUAUAGAAUUUGUUCAGCUUAAAAUCACACAGGCCGGAUGGAAAUUAAGUGUGAUGAUUUCCGACCUCUCGCUUCAACAACAAGUUUCACUAGACUGCCAAGGGAAGCAGGUAAACAAAGGGUUGAUUAUCGCUUUUGCUCUCCCUUCCUCACCCGGUCACAGGUGUAUGUACAGAGGACGAGCAACGGAAGUUAAACUCUGUGGUCAUGGUCCUUCGCGUAUUAAGGGAGAGGCGGGAAAACAAAUAAAGGCUUUCAAUACAUUUUGUUUAUCAAAUUGCAGGCUAAUUUCCUACAAUUUUCUGAAUAUUUACUGACAGUAAUAGGUUCCUGAAUAAGUAAUGAGAUUGCAGGGUAUAUAACUGCUGACUACAAGAACAGCUCCAGCAUCCCAAAGCGUUGGAUAUCUCAGGUUGUCUAGCUUUUACUGCUUUCAACUCUCCAAAAUCUCCAGGAUGAAGGUGACCAUCGUUGUCCUACUAGCCCUCCUAGCUGUGGCCGCCACUGCUGAUGUCGACAGGCGAUUUCUUCUUAAGAUUCCGAGCAUUGGUGACGUUGUGAACCAGCUGAAGGGGAAGAAAUCCAACUACAACUGGAAGGAGAGUGACUGUAGGAGUGACUGCCGGUCAACCUUUGCCUGGACCCUCCUACUUGAUGAACUGUGUCCAGCAGCCUGCGCCAUCAUUUUCACGAGAGUGAACGUCUGAGUGAAGAACAAAUCUUUACGAUCCAGGAUUUGAACUAAGAUUUUCUUCCUGACGCUCAGUGGACUGGCUAUGUACGAUCUGAAAUAAAUCUUUGCAAAAGAAA